This is a long non-coding RNA of Hemicordylus capensis (graceful crag lizard), 796 nucleotides long. RefSeq lists it as uncharacterized. The transcript has 5 exons. Lineage: Eukaryota; Metazoa; Chordata; Lepidosauria; Squamata; Cordylidae. The record is from RefSeq and is a predicted model, not a curated record.
AGGAAAUGGCAUGACCACCCCUAAGUGCCUGCUGCCUGGAGGCGAUAUUGGGCUGAUGAGGGAUAACAGACGGAAGUAGAAUCCAAACAAAACAGAGGCACUUCCUCAAGUUAUGCUGGUGUUUUCACCAAAGGAUUUUGGCGCCAGUGAAUAUUCCUUGCAUCUUUUAUAUCUGCAUACCCAAGACAGUGUCUAAAACAGAAGAGUUCUAGCUGGAUAAAUCUCUGUGAACCAUGUCUCCUUAAUUUUUAUACAUCGUACUCAUAUGAUCCAUCAUGCCAUGCACUGAAACAUAAACAUCUGAAGGCUUUCCAAACACCAUGACUAAUGUUCCUGUCGCCACUCACCACCUGAAGCAUAGCCAUCAAGUGCCAAGCUAUAAAGAACAGCGGGACAGAAACAAAAUGGCGGAGAUGAGAAGCACCAACCUUAAUGGCUACACUUUAAUUUACUACUACUACUUCUUGCUGGCUUUAAUAACUGCUUGAUGAGCAAAGCAAAGCUACUCAACUUCAACACUGAAGAUAUUUAUUCUGGGUUUUUUAAAAAUUUAAUGUAUACCCCACCUUUCUUCAAAACUGAAUUCAAGAUGAUUGCCAAGAGGUCCAGAAUCCCUAGGAUUGCCAUGUUCUAAACCUUAUUGAAGACAUCUCUGUGCCGCCAGGCAUUUGCCCUUUAAUUUUUUGUUGGUUUUUGUUUGUUUGUUUUUAAAAUCUCGGAUGCUGUUCUUGUUUAUACACCGACCUGUCUGUAAAUUGAGCGGUAUAUUAAAUCUCUUAAUAAAUAAAUAAUAAAU